UAUUCUGAAAUACUGUGGGAGUGAUUUGAAUAUCAAAGUACUAAUUGUGAGGACUCUACGCUAUUCCGAAAAUACGCAACACCCCACCCUAUCUACCAAGAUGGGGCACGGUAGCCCACACCCUUAAUCCCCGGAACUUCGGAGGCAGAGGCAGGCAGAUCAUUGUGAGCUCAAGGCCACAGAGUAAGUUCCAGGACUGUCCCUGCUGUUCUAUAGAGAAACCAAAACCUUUCUUGAAAGCCAGCAGUCAUUCUGUUGUGUUUGUAUCCAUUUUCUCAGGAAAGUAACUGCCUAUUGUGCUAAAUUAAGCUUUUGGUUAUUACUUACUGUCACCAACAAAAGGUCUCUCCUCAGGAACCUCUUCUCUUUUUGAAUAGAAGAGAAAAUGUAUCAUCUGGAUGGCUAAAUGUUUCUUUCACAGCCUGUGAGAAGCCAGGCUAGGGGAAAAGGACUGUAACCCCCAGGUUCAGGAGGCAGAGGUGCGUUCCACCAUGCAAGUUUUCCACACGUAAGGGAUGAAAGCCAUCAUGCAUGCUAAGCAAGCACUCUGCUGACUGAGCCCCACGGUGAACCUCCCCAAGAAAGUUUUCUCUGAAGUGGUGAGGAAAAUGUCCAUCCAACCUCACUAGUACAUUGUACAGGAUAUUUGAUGGCUGUAUUGAGAGAACCUAAUCGUUGGCGAAAUAUACAAGCUUAAAUGUUGUGUUGAAAAAUGCAGUCAGGUGUGUUCUGAAAAGAAGCAGUUUGGGUGUGCCUCUAAAAGCCUCUGUAGGAGGAGGAGGAGGAGGAGAAAAGAAGAGGAGGAGGAGGAGAAAAGAAGGAGGAGGAGGGAAGGAAGGAAGGAAGGAAAGAAAGAAAGAAAGAAAGAAAGAAAGAAAGAAAGAAAAAAAGAAAGAAGGAAAGAAAGAAAGAAAGAAAGAAAGGAAGGAAGGAAGGAAGGAAGGAAGGAAGGAAGGAAGAAAGGAAGAAAGAAAGAAAAGUUCCUAUUUUAAAGCAAGUUGGUUGGGAGAGAUCUUGAGGUCUUCGAUGUACGAUCCAAAGCAAAGUCCUCUGGAUGACCUUGAGCUACCCCACUGUAAAGGUGAAAUGGUUUGGUCCUAAUGACUGGACUUGAAGUGCUGCCCCCCCCCACUGUGACGUGCAUGGUUCAGCCUACCAAGUGUAGGUGAGGAACUAGAGACUUCUAUAAGCAAAGGACCUUUGAUAGGCUCUCUUCAAAUUUGGAAGAGCCUUCUGGAAGGAGCUUCUGGUGAGAGAUAGGGCUUGCAGGAACAACAGAGAAGCAGUUGCUGGAACACAGGUAAUCAGUAUUCUAGGAAAGGGAGUUAAGGAGCCCUCUUGGGUUUGGAGAAGCUCAAGAGAAAGGUAGACUAGCUCGGUAGAAUGGCAGAGAUUUCUAAAGUCCUAGCAGGUUAGUUAUAGAAUCGGGCUUGUAAAUAGAUAUUUUGUAUACAGUUAAGAAAAAUAAAGUUACCUCACCGAGUUAACUAGUUUUAAACUCAGUUUAUACCUCUCAUGUCUUUAUUGGUAUAAAUAUUAGAUAACUUGGUUACAGUAUGUUGGGCUUGCCUACUGAAAUACAGACUUGGUUUGUAGCUUGCAAGGUAGAUGUUUAAGAGGAGGUAAAUUAUUCCAUUUCUUCCGUAUAAUAAAACACAUGAGUAUGGGUACUGAAUGAAGAAAAGAAUAUUGUUUAGCUUACAGUUUUUGGCAAAAAUUCCAAGUAAAUAGCUUGAUCUGUUCAGUUUCUGGUAAGCAUUCUGGCUAUAUCUCAUCGAAGACACAGAAGAACAGCUAGCUAUAUGCAAAAGACACCAAGUUCUGAGAAGGCUAGGCUGAUUUCAUGAGAGGCUUCAAAUUGGCAGUUAAGGUGCCUAAAACUCUGUUCCCAAGAACCGGGCAAUUACAGGCAAGCCCAGGCCUCGGAAGCUGCCCCACCACCAGGCCUGAAGCAGGACAAUGGGUCAGCAGCAGUUUCCAGACUUCCUUAGGUACUUCCUCAGCAACAGUUUCCAGACCUCCCCCAAAAGUUCCCAACCCCCACAACCCAGUAAUGAAAGGUCCCUAGAGAUGGACCCAACAGAUUAACAUAGAGGUCACCUACCCCGGAACUCCCUAGUGUGCUUUAAAUGAGGCCUGUGAGCUCACUUGGAUGUCUCUCUAUUCUGGUAAUGGGAGACCCCAGUAUGCUGGACUUCUGCAGAAUAAACCACUCUUUGUGUAUACAUACUA
Molecule: non-coding RNA, 2232 nt
Organism: Rattus norvegicus (Norway rat)
Lineage: Eukaryota; Metazoa; Chordata; Mammalia; Rodentia; Muridae
Source: RefSeq, a predicted model, not a curated record